This is a long non-coding RNA of Esox lucius (northern pike), 1583 nucleotides long. RefSeq lists it as uncharacterized. The record is from RefSeq and is a predicted model, not a curated record. NCBI's taxonomy places the organism in Eukaryota, Metazoa, Chordata, Actinopteri, Esociformes, Esocidae. The transcript has 6 exons.
AUUGUGAUACUGCUGAAAAGAAACCUGAAUUACGGGAAAGUCGGGUAUCUCUUGUAUAGAUUAUCAGACUAAUUAUCAGCCCGUGGAAAUAAAGCACGCAUGCAGAACUUCCGAAGUAAAGCUUAACAGUUCGAUGUAUGCUGCUCCCAGGAAGACCAACGUAGUUUUUUGCAGAGACAUAAAAUAGCUAUUUGAGCAUGUGAUGACCUAACGUGUCAUACCACUUUCAGAUUGUUCAGAGAGGACGCCCACAUUUUGCCCAGCCUUUGGUUUUCGCUAAAAACUUGAUAGGAAAUACCACUACAACCAUGGGACUUUGGGUGUUUCUCAUCAUACUUUUUACAGUUUUGCCCAGAACACAUGCUUCAACAACUGGCGUCCCCAGAACGACAACAGAUUCUUCCACAUCAAGAAGAGAUUCUGUCACAUCAAUCACAGCAAUCCCAAAAACAACUACACCUACGCCCAUUACAACCACAGCUACUCAAACAAUGACAACCGCAUUACUGACAAAAACUACAACCGUAGCUCCUCAUAGAAGAAGCACAACCUCAGAUUUUACUACAACAACCACCGCCCCUAACACUAAAACGACUACACACGCAAAUACUGAGCAACCAACAACUACAAAGCUAAUCUCUCAACACAUGGAAACUACUCCACUGCCCACUGAACAGCCUAGAUAUGUGGUUGUAAUGGCUGUACAAGUCACCGCAACAACAGAGCUAACUGAAUCAGAGAUCAGCGAUCAGAUGUUGAAGCAGCUGCAUGAGGAGCUGAUCCGAAGAGGGUUGCAAGGGGACUUUACACUGCGAUUAAGAGCUGUUCAGAAAUAAGAUUCCGGUGGAGGAACAGGAAAAUGGAGAGAAAACACAGACAGCCUAGUUAUCUGUUAAAUUACAGAGCGUCAGACACAUCAGACACACAGUAUUGUAGAAGGAGGAGGGGCUAGAUGUUACCUGCAUUUCAUGGACAAACGUAACCAAUUGAACUAAAUCUGCCGUUGAGGUCAACCUCCUGUCUGUCUAGGUGAGUGACAGCACAUAAGCCGCACAGAACCAAAUAAGUAACCGUACAGAAUGACUGAGGCAAGAAAGAAUCAGCUAUACUAGUGUCUUUCGUUUAAAACAUUGUGUAAGCUCUCACAGGACACUGGUUCUCCUUGGCUCUGAGUAAUAGUCCUGUGACGGUUUGAAAUGACUGGCCAGCUCUCAUAUGUUCACAUAGAACUGAUGAGCCACUAGGGCUUCACAGAAAAGAAACAGAUGUGGCUUUCAAUUAUCUCUAUUCUACCUGAAGCUAUGGCUUCUCGCAAAAGAUUUCUGUCUGGAUUUGUACCCAGUGCCAGUGUCCACUCCAUGUAGCCACAGUUUCUACAUGGCCUGUAUUAAGAGACACCUAGGCACUGCGAGUGAGGUGAGAUCUGUCACUCAAUCAAACUUGAGUCCCAAUGAUAAGCAUCUUAUCUACUGUACUCUUCCAUUCAGUUCCAUUGUCUUAACAUAAUGUGACGUUUUUUCUCAGGACACAAACACUGAGUCCACAUACCAGCAAAGUCAUAGUACUCAAUAAAAUGUUUUGUU